GAUGAAGAACGCAACAAAAUGCGAUAAGUAAUGUGAAUUGCAGAAUUCAGUGAAUCAUCGAAUCUUUGAACGCACAUUGCGCCCGCCAGUAUUCUGGCGGGCAUGCCUGUUCGAGCGUCAUUUCAACCCUCAAGCACAGCUUGGUGUUGGGACUCGCGUUAAUUCGCGUUCCCCAAAUUGAUUGGCGGUCACGUCGAGCUUCCAUAGCGUAGUAGUAAAACCCUCGUUACUGGUAAUCGUCGCGGCCACGCCGUUAAACCCCAACUUCUGAAUGUUGACCUCGGAUCAGGUAGGAAUACCCGCUGAACUUAAGCAUAUCAAUAAGCGGAGGA
This 332-nucleotide unclassified non-coding RNA is filed under the name soil metagenome. RNAcentral describes it as "partial contains 5.8S ribosomal RNA, internal transcribed spacer 2, and large subunit ribosomal RNA". The stretch from base 1 to 120 matches the Rfam family "5.8S ribosomal RNA", at positions 35 to 154 of the family's 154-position model. The record is from RNAcentral.